RNAcentral lists this unclassified non-coding RNA (1213 nucleotides) under Hevea brasiliensis (rubber tree). Lineage: Eukaryota; Viridiplantae; Streptophyta; Magnoliopsida; Malpighiales; Euphorbiaceae. The record is from RNAcentral.
AGAGAGAGAGAGAGAGAGACGGAACUUUUGAGUUCCUUAGCUUUAGUCAGAAUCAGUUGACAAAACAAUCAAGUAUAUUUUCUAGGCAACUGAUUGUAGUUAGAUGCAUGAGAGCAAUACAAAUGACAAUAUUACCUUAGUAUAUGAAAUCUAUAAAGUAUCAAGAUGACUUGAAUCCUUGUGUUGAAAUCAAGAAUAAUAAGGAGAAAACCUUCCCCCUACCCAGCAGCCAACAGUAAAGACCUUCAAACCAUCUCAUGCAAUGGGCAAGCCAUUGCCAAGUAGACAUGGUGGGCUACUGGCACUACCUAUCAUUUUAUUUCCAUAGCCCUAUACAUUACUAGGGAGAUUCUUUAUAUCACACUAUAAUUGAAAAUAAUAACACCGCCUAGCCAUGUUAAGAUACCAUAUUAUUCACAAGAGGAAUCUCAACUUCAUGUAUCAAAGCAUUCAGCACUGCUGCCUCAAAAGAGAAAAAUAGUAAAGGAAGGAAUUGAAGCACCAAUGCCACAAGAGUUAUUAAGACAUAUUCUCUAGGGGCUUAGGUUGCCUAGUGCAGGCAGCCUAUAUAGUUCAAACUCAGAUUUUCUUUUGUGGAAUGAUAGGACUACCAAAACAUUAAACAACAAAUAAGGAGAAUGGUAACCAUUUCAAUCAAACCCUUUUGGGUUAAUAAGUGAUAAGCAAUGUCUAGAAAACCUUUUAGAAACCAAGUAACUCCUACGCUAACCACUCCACUCCACUCUAAUCCAGAACAAGGAGGAAAACACGUAAGGCACAUAUCAAAAAAGAAUCUUCAUAAGAAAACUCAUUAUUUUUUUGUCAUGAUGAGCACAUUGCAACCUUAAUAAAAAAAUGAAAAAAAAUUAUUAAUUACAAAUUAUGCGGCUCUAAUUUAUAUUGAAUCCCUUGUGAUAAUAAAUAUUGGCCGUCUUGUAAAAUACAAUAAACUGUAUGUUGGAAAAUGAAGGCACUGUGUUUGAUGGUAUAUGUUACAAUUCGACAAGGGAUCUGCAUAUUAAUGCAGCAUUAAUGAAAAGCUGUAAAGAUAAAGAAAUGAGUAGCUACAUAGUUAUCACAUCUAUUCUUUCAAAUCAGCUAUAAAAUUUUAUUCUUCUACAGGCCAAAUACUCAACCUGACAAAAGAGGGAAGACAAAGAGUCAAGCAAAUAACUCAGCAAAGCAAGAGUAAUCCAGAUUAUGAAUAUUAUGU